This 501-nucleotide ribosomal RNA is filed under the name uncultured bacterium. RNAcentral describes it as "bacterial SSU rRNA". It matches the Rfam family "Bacterial small subunit ribosomal RNA", at positions 38 to 524 of the family's 1533-position model. The record is from RNAcentral.
GGCGGCAGCCUAUACAUGCAAGUCGAACGAGAGGAAGGAAAGCUUGCUUUUCUGAAUCUAGUGGCGAACGGGUGAGUAACACGUAGGUAACCUGCCCAUGUGCUCGGGAUAACUUCUGGAAACGGAUGCUAAAACCGGAUAGGUAGCAGACAAGCAUUUGACUGCUAUUAAAGUGGCUAAGGCCAUGAACAUGGAUGGACCUGCGGUGCAUUAGCUAGUUGGUGAGGUAACGGCCCACCAAGGCGACGAUGCAUAGCCGGCCUGAGAGGGCGGACGGCCACAUUGGGACUGAGACACGGCCCAGACUCCUACGGGAGGCAGCAGUAGGGAAUUUUCGUCAAUGGGGGGAACCCUGAACGAGCAAUGCCGCGUGAGUGAGGAAGGUCUUCGGAUCGUAAAGCUCUGUUGUAAGAGAAAAACGACAUUCAUAGGGAAUGAUGAGUGAGUGAUGGUAUCUUACCAGAAAGUCACGGCUAACUACGUGCCAGCAGCCGCGGUAAU